Molecule: ribosomal RNA, 253 nt
Filed under: uncultured bacterium
Lineage: Bacteria
Description: partial 16S ribosomal RNA
Rfam family: Bacterial small subunit ribosomal RNA
Source: RNAcentral
UACGAAGGGGGCUAGCGUUGCUCGGAAUUACUGGGCGUAAAGCGCACGUAGGCGGAUUGUUAAGUCGGGGGUGAAAUCCUGGAGCUCAACUCCAGAACUGCCUUCGAUACUGGCGAUCUCGAGUUCGGGAGAGGUGAGUGGAACUGCGAGUGUAGAGGUGAAAUUCGUAGAUAUUCGCAAGAACACCAGUGGCGAAGGCGGCUCACUGGCCCGGAACUGACGCUGAGGUGCGAAAGCGUGGGGAGCAAACAGG